RNAcentral lists this ribosomal RNA (2912 nucleotides) under Pseudomonas aeruginosa. Its description in RNAcentral is "bacterial LSU rRNA". It matches the Rfam family "Bacterial large subunit ribosomal RNA". The record is from RNAcentral. Lineage: Bacteria; Pseudomonadati; Pseudomonadota; Gammaproteobacteria; Pseudomonadales; Pseudomonadaceae.
GUUAUAUGGUCAAGUGAAGAAGCGCAUACGGUGGAUGCCUUGGCAGUCAGAGGCGAUGAAAGACGUGGUAGCCUGCGAAAAGCUUCGGGGAGUCGGCAAACAGACUUUGAUCCGGAGAUCUCUGAAUGGGGGAACCCACCUAGGAUAACCUAGGUAUCUUGUACUGAAUCCAUAGGUGCAAGAGGCGAACCAGGGGAACUGAAACAUCUAAGUACCCUGAGGAAAAGAAAUCAACCGAGAUUCCCUUAGUAGUGGCGAGCGAACGGGGAUUAGCCCUUAAGCUUCAUUGAUUUUAGCGGAACGCUCUGGAAAGUGCGGCCAUAGUGGGUGAUAGCCCCGUACGCGAAAGGAUCUUUGAAGUGAAAUCGAGUAGGACGGAGCACGAGAAACUUUGUCUGAACAUGGGGGGACCAUCCUCCAAGGCUAAAUACUACUGACUGACCGAUAGUGAACCAGUACCGUGAGGGAAAGGCGAAAAGAACCCCGGAGAGGGGAGUGAAAUAGAACCUGAAACCGUAUGCGUACAAGCAGUGGGAGCCUACUUGUUAGGUGACUGCGUACCUUUUGUAUAAUGGGUCAGCGACUUAUAUUCAGUGGCAAGCUUAACCGUAUAGGGUAGGCGUAGCGAAAGCGAGUCUUAAUAGGGCGUUUAGUCGCUGGGUAUAGACCCGAAACCGGGCGAUCUAUCCAUGAGCAGGUUGAAGGUUAGGUAACACUGACUGGAGGACCGAACCCACUCCCGUUGAAAAGGUAGGGGAUGACUUGUGGAUCGGAGUGAAAGGCUAAUCAAGCUCGGAGAUAGCUGGUUCUCCUCGAAAGCUAUUUAGGUAGCGCCUCAUGUAUCACUCUGGGGGGUAGAGCACUGUUUCGGCUAGGGGGUCAUCCCGACUUACCAAACCGAUGCAAACUCCGAAUACCCAGAAGUGCCGAGCAUGGGAGGCACACGGCGGGUGCUAACGUCCGUCGUGAAAAGGGAAACAACCCAGACCGCCAGCUAAGGUCCCAAAGUUGUGGUUAAGUGGUAAACGAUGUGGGAAGGCUUAGACAGCUAGGAGGUUGGCUUAGAAGCAGCCACCCUUUAAAGAAAGCGUAAUAGCUCACUAGUCGAGUCGGCCUGCGCGGAAGAUGUAACGGGGCUCAAACCACACACCGAAGCUGCGGGUGUCACGUAAGUGACGCGGUAGAGGAGCGUUCUGUAAGCCUGUGAAGGUGAGUUGAGAAGCUUGCUGGAGGUAUCAGAAGUGCGAAUGCUGACAUGAGUAACGACAAUGGGUGUGAAAAACACCCACGCCGAAAGACCAAGGGUUCCUGCGCAACGUUAAUCGACGCAGGGUUAGUCGGUUCCUAAGGCGAGGCUGAAAAGCGUAGUCGAUGGGAAACAGGUUAAUAUUCCUGUACUUCUGGUUACUGCGAUGGAGGGACGGAGAAGGCUAGGCCAGCUUGGCGUUGGUUGUCCAAGUUUAAGGUGGUAGGCUGAAAUCUUAGGUAAAUCCGGGGUUUCAAGGCCGAGAGCUGAUGACGAGUCGUCUUUUAGAUGACGAAGUGGUUGAUGCCAUGCUUCCAAGAAAAGCUUCUAAGCUUCAGGUAACCAGGAACCGUACCCCAAACCGACACAGGUGGUCGGGUAGAGAAUACCAAGGCGCUUGAGAGAACUCGGGUGAAGGAACUAGGCAAAAUGGCACCGUAACUUCGGGAGAAGGUGCGCCGGCUAGGGUGAAGGAUUUACUCCGUAAGCUCUGGCUGGUCGAAGAUACCAGGCCGCUGCGACUGUUUAUUAAAAACACAGCACUCUGCAAACACGAAAGUGGACGUAUAGGGUGUGACGCCUGCCCGGUGCCGGAAGGUUAAUUGAUGGGGUUAGCGCAAGCGAAGCUCUUGAUCGAAGCCCCGGUAAACGGCGGCCGUAACUAUAACGGUCCUAAGGUAGCGAAAUUCCUUGUCGGGUAAGUUCCGACCUGCACGAAUGGCGUAACGAUGGCGGCGCUGUCUCCACCCGAGACUCAGUGAAAUUGAAAUCGCUGUGAAGAUGCAGUGUAUCCGCGGCUAGACGGAAAGACCCCGUGAACCUUUACUGUAGCUUUGCACUGGACUUUGAGCCUGCUUGUGUAGGAUAGGUGGGAGGCUUUGAAGCGUGGACGCCAGUUCGCGUGGAGCCAUCCUUGAAAUACCACCCUGGCAUGCUUGAGGUUCUAACUCUGGUCCGUAAUCCGGAUCGAGGACAGUGUAUGGUGGGCAGUUUGACUGGGGCGGUCUCCUCCUAAAGAGUAACGGAGGAGUACGAAGGUGCGCUCAGACCGGUCGGAAAUCGGUCGCAGAGUAUAAAGGCAAAAGCGCGCUUGACUGCGAGACAGACACGUCGAGCAGGUACGAAAGUAGGUCUUAGUGAUCCGGUGGUUCUGUAUGGAAGGGCCAUCGCUCAACGGAUAAAAGGUACUCCGGGGAUAACAGGCUGAUACCGCCCAAGAGUUCAUAUCGACGGCGGUGUUUGGCACCUCGAUGUCGGCUCAUCACAUCCUGGGGCUGAAGCCGGUCCCAAGGGUAUGGCUGUUCGCCAUUUAAAGUGGUACGCGAGCUGGGUUUAGAACGUCGUGAGACAGUUCGGUCCCUAUCUGCCGUGGACGUUUGAGAUUUGAGAGGGGCUGCUCCUAGUACGAGAGGACCGGAGUGGACGAACCUCUGGUGUUCCGGUUGUCACGCCAGUGGCAUUGCCGGGUAGCUAUGUUCGGAAAAGAUAACCGCUGAAAGCAUCUAAGCGGGAAACUUGCCUCAAGAUGAGAUCUCACUGGGAACUUGAUUCCCCUGAAGGGCCGUCGAAGACUACGACGUUGAUAGGCUGGGUGUGUAAGCGUUGUGAGGCGUUGAGCUAACCAGUACUAAUUGCCCGUGAGGCUUGACCAUAUAACACCCAAACA